AAAGGUUGGCCGCCGGGGUGCGCCGGGACGUCGAUG
RNAcentral lists this unclassified non-coding RNA (36 nucleotides) under Sorangium cellulosum So ce56. RNAcentral describes it as "sce_s2m_16". The record is from RNAcentral. Lineage: Bacteria; Pseudomonadati; Myxococcota; Polyangiales; Polyangiaceae.